CCCUAUGGGGCGCAGCAGAACGGCAGGGAAUCCGAGGAUGGAAGAUUCCUCGCUCAAAGUACCUGAAUCAGAAAUGACGCACUUGGCAUCGCACUGAAGCCGGCAAUAGUCGGUAAAUCCUAGGGGCUUCACGCUGCGGAUUAGAGGAUUCAGCGACACCUGGUUGGUUUCGAGGCGCUUCCACGUGCGCGGAUGUGUCGAAAAUACAAUGGGGAGUUUAUAUCGCUCCGCGAGGCUGUUCAGCGCCACGACGAGUUCGUUGAAUUUGUACUCGAUAUCGAUGUUUUCCUCACGGUGCAUGCUCAAGACGAAAUACUCUCCCUUUUUGACGCCAUAUGCAUCGAGCGCCUUGGAAGCUUCAAUUUUGGCCUUAUUCUUGAGAAUGAAUUGGCGGGAGGGC
This 400-nucleotide ribosomal RNA is filed under the name uncultured prokaryote. Its description in RNAcentral is "partial 16S ribosomal RNA". The record is from RNAcentral.